GAAUCUUUCUCAAUGGGCGCAAGCCUGAAGGAGCGACGCCGCGUGGGGGAUGAAGGGCUUCGGCCUGUAAACCCCUGUCAUUUGCGAACAAGGUCGGCCAUUUAAAAGAUAGCCGGAUUGAUGGUAGCGAAAGAGGAAGGGACGGCAAACUCUGUGCCAGCAGCCGCGGUAAUACAGAGGUCCCAAGCGUUGUUCGGAUUCACUGGGCGUAAAGGGUGCGUAGGUGGUGGGGUAAGUUGGAUGUGAAAGCUCCGAGCUUAACUCGGAAAUGGCAUUCAAAACUACCCCGCUAGAGGGUUGGAAGGGGGACUGGAAUUCUCGGUGUAGCAGUGAAAUGCGUAGAUAUCGAGAGGAACACCAGUGGCGAAGGCGAGUCCCUGGACAACUCCUGACACUGAGGCACGAAAGCUAGGGGAGCAAACAGG
RNAcentral lists this ribosomal RNA (425 nucleotides) under uncultured bacterium. RNAcentral's name for it is "bacterial SSU rRNA". It matches the Rfam family "Bacterial small subunit ribosomal RNA", at positions 359 to 776 of the family's 1533-position model. The record is from RNAcentral.